This 253-nucleotide ribosomal RNA is filed under the name uncultured bacterium. Its description in RNAcentral is "partial 16S ribosomal RNA". It matches the Rfam family "Bacterial small subunit ribosomal RNA", at positions 524 to 776 of the family's 1533-position model. The record is from RNAcentral.
UACGUAGAGGGCGAGCGUUGUCCGGAGUUACUGGGCGUAAAGCGCACGCAGGCGGUGCUGCGCGUUUGGGGUUACAGCUCCCGGCUCAACCGGGAGAGCGCCUCGAAGACGGCAGCACUUGAGGGCCAGAGAGGGACACGGAACUCCGGGUGGAGUGGUGAAAUGCGUAGAUAUCCGGAAGAACACCAAAGGCGAAGGCAGUGUCCUGGCUGGUACCUGACGCUCAGGUGCGAAAGCUAGGGGAGCGAACGGG